RNAcentral lists this ribosomal RNA (433 nucleotides) under uncultured bacterium. Its description in RNAcentral is "partial 16S ribosomal RNA". It matches the Rfam family "Bacterial small subunit ribosomal RNA", at positions 29 to 507 of the family's 1533-position model. The record is from RNAcentral.
AACGAACGCUGGCGGCAGGCUUAACACAUGCAAGUCGAGCGCAUCCUUCGGGGUGAGCGGCGGACGGGUGAGUAACGCGUGGGAACGUGCCCUCUUCUACGGAAUAGCCUCGGGAAACUGAGAGUAAUGCCGUAUACGCCCGCAAGGGGAAAGAUUUAUCGGAGGAGGAUCGGCCCGCGUUGGAUUAGGUAGUUGGUGGGGUAACGGCCUACCAAGCCGACGAUCCAUAGCUGGUUUGAGAGGAUGAUCAGCCACACUGGGACUGAGACACGGCCCAGACUCCUACGGGAGGCAGCAGUGAGGAAUCUUGGACAAUGGGGGCAACCCUGAUCCAGCCAUGCCGCGUGAUCGAUGAAGGCCUUAGGGUUGUAAAGAUCUUUCAGCUGGGAAGAUAAUGACGGUACCAGCAGAAGAAGCCCCGGCUAACUCCGUG